This 72-nucleotide transfer RNA is filed under the name Dipodomys ordii (Ord's kangaroo rat). It matches the Rfam family "tRNA". From Rfam's summary of the family: Transfer RNA (tRNA) molecules are approximately 80 nucleotides in length. Their secondary structure includes four short double-helical elements and three loops (D, anti-codon, and T loops). Further hydrogen bonds mediate the characteristic L-shaped molecular structure. tRNAs have two regions of fundamental functional importance: the anti-codon, which is responsible for specific mRNA codon recognition, and the 3' end, to which the tRNAs corresponding amino acid is attached (by aminoacyl-tRNA synthetases). tRNAs cope with the degeneracy of the genetic code in two manners: having more than one tRNA (with a specific anti-codon) for a particular amino acid; and 'wobble' base-pairing, i.e. permitting non-standard base-pairing at the 3rd anti-codon position. The record is from Rfam by way of RNAcentral. Lineage: Eukaryota; Metazoa; Chordata; Mammalia; Rodentia; Heteromyidae.
GGGAAGGUGGCUCAGUGGAAGAGCGCUUGCCUUGCAUGCAUGAAGCCCUGGGUUCGAUUCCUCAUCAGCACA